UACGUAGGGUGCAAGCGUUGUCCGGAAUUAUUGGGCGUAAAGAGCUCGUAGGCGGUUUGUUGCGUCGGCUGUGAAAUCCCGAGGCUCAACCUCGGGUCUGCAGUCGAUACGAGCAAACUAGAGUGUUGCAGGGGAGACUGGAAUUCCUGGUGUAGCGGUGAAAUGCGUAGAGAUCCGGAGGAAUACCAGAGGCGAAGGCGGCCUACUGGGCUGCACCUGACGCUGAGCCGCGAAAGCCAGGGGAGCGAACGGG
Molecule: ribosomal RNA, 253 nt
Filed under: uncultured bacterium
Lineage: Bacteria
Description: partial 16S ribosomal RNA
Rfam family: Bacterial small subunit ribosomal RNA
Source: RNAcentral